UCCAAUUGCAUGCCAUUAAGCAGAUGACAAAUCUAUCAAACCAUACAGCAAUCAAACAAAACAAAACCUCCGAUUAAGCCCCCUCCGCAAGUUCUUCCUCUUCAUCUUCAUAAUCAUACCCUUCCUCAUCGGCAGUCGCAUCUUGAUACUGCUGGUAUUCAGAAACCAAAUCAUUCAUAUUGCUCUCCGCUUCCGUAAACUCCAUCUCAUCCAUUCCUUCACCAGUGUACCAAUGCAAGAAAGCCUUCCUACGGAACAUAGCGGUAAACUGCUCGCUCACCCGCCUGAACAUUUCCUGGAUCGACGUCGAGUUACCAAUGAAUGUAGACGCCAUUUUAAGCCCGGUUGGAGGGAUAUCACAAACCGUUGACUUAACAUUGUUGGGGAUCCACUCAACAAAGUAAGAAGAGUUCUUGUUCUGGACAUUGAUCAUUUGUUCGUCAACUUCUUUUGUGCUCAUUUUGCCACGGAACAUGGCGGAUGCCGUCAGGUACCGCCCAUGACGGGGAUCAGCUGCACACAUCAUGUUUUUGGCAUCCCACAUUUGUUGGGUGAGUUCAGGUACAGUUAGUGCGCGGUAAUGCUGGGACCCACGUGAUGUUAGGGGUGCAAAUCCAACCAUGAAGAAGUGGAGGCGGGGGAAUGGAAUGAGGUUGACCGCAAGCUUGCGGAGAUCAGAGGCUCCACAACAGUGUCAGAGACCUUCGGAGAUGGGAAUACAGAGAACGUAAGCAUCAUGCGGUCCGGGUAUUCUUCUCGGAUCUUGGAAAUGAGAAGGGUUCCCAUUCCUGACCCGGUCCCACCACCCAACGAGUGGCACACCUGGAAACCUGGA
RNAcentral lists this long non-coding RNA (835 nucleotides) under Helianthus annuus (common sunflower). RNAcentral describes it as "sRNA HanXRQr2_Chr09g0384951". The record is from RNAcentral. Lineage: Eukaryota; Viridiplantae; Streptophyta; Magnoliopsida; Asterales; Asteraceae.